Molecule: small RNA, 2946 nt
Filed under: Histoplasma capsulatum
Lineage: Eukaryota; Fungi; Ascomycota; Eurotiomycetes; Onygenales; Ajellomycetaceae
Description: hypothetical RNA
Source: RNAcentral
GAGAGCACUCCUUUGAGCGGCUGGCAGGAAGCCGGGUGACUUAUGGUCUUUUUGGCCUGGGUGGUUAGCACAGUAUAUGCCUGGCUGAUGCUGAUAAUGACAGUCUGCCUCCUACUCCCAAAUAAUCGCUAUAGUAUGACAAUCUCUUGCUGCUUGAGGAGUAGAAGGCAGGCAGAGAACAGAUUCAAUUUGUCUUGGAUAGAAGGUUGCACAGGAGAAGUACCAAAAGAGCUAAAAGAACAGAGACCGCACAGCUAACCUCAAAUCUAGCCUCAAAUCUAAACCUGUAUCUGCUUGGAGAAGAGAUAGGGAGAUUCUUUGAUUGUGGGGUUCCUCUUGCUUCGGUUUGUAUUCCAGUGUACUGUACUGUACUACUGGUAGUUAGGUUGGACGUAGAAGUUAUGUAUAAAUUAUUCCUGUGAAUAACGAAGUAGUGCCAUUUGGUGGGGUGGGUGGGGUAAUCAACCCUACAUUGAAGUUGGUGUUCACUUACUAGCGGUUAAAUUAUUGUAGUUAGUAUCAUUGCCAGCCAAAAAAAGAAAUCCUAAUCCAAGACGAUAUAAUUUCCAUCCAAGGAAGGCCACAUCACCAUAGCAAUAUCACCGCCUACUGUAAACUAUACCGAUACGGCUUUUCCUAAUGGCCUCCGAAAAUCCGAGAAAAACCCCCAAUUCCAUCUAUAUUCCUACUACCGCUCCUCCUGCUCCGCCCGCCUCCGUAUCGCCCUGAACCUCAAACAAAUCCCCUACACAACCACGUUUGUAAACCUGCUGAAGGGUGAACAACUUUCACCAGCCCACCGCGCGCUGAACCCUUCCGCUACGGUUCCAAUUCUCAUCAUCACCUCAAGCUCUAAUCCCAACCCAACCACCUUCAGUAGCAUGACUGACAACCUAAUGACCUCCAUCACAAUCGGCCAAUCCAUUGCUGCGCUUGAAUAUCUUGAAGAGAUAUCCAUCAAUACAGAUACAAAUACAACCCCCCUCCUCCCCCCAUCCACCUCACCACAUGCCCGCGCCCAAGUCCGCACCCUUGUAAAUAUCAUAGCCUGCGAUAUCCAGCCUGUCACAAACCUGCGGAUCCAGCAGCGAGUCAAAGCCCUGGGCGCAGAUAACACUCUCUGGGCUCAUGAGCUGAUGGAAGCUGGAUUUGCGGCACUCGAAGCGCAGAUGUUGACCAGUGCAGGCCAGUAUUCAGUUGGUGAUGCUGUAUCAAUGGCAGAUGUGUGCCUGGUGCCAGCAGUGUGGGCAGCGCAGAGGUUUGGGGUAGAUUUGGGGACAUUUCCCACCGUGUCCAGGGUGGCGGAGAUGUUGGAAAGUUUGGAGGCGGUGAGAAGGGCGCAUUGGGCGAGGCAGCCAGACACACCAGAAGAGUUAAGGGCAGUGGAUUGACUUUUUUUUUUUUUUUCCUUUUUCAACAUGUGGAUUGAUUGCUUCUAUCUGUGUCGAGGUCGGUUCUGUAUAUAUUUAGCAUUUAAGGCUUAUAUUUCAUAUCUUCAAGAAACCAUUUUCUUUGGCAAGACUACAGUGUACAUUAUUUAACUAAACAUGAAAUUAAUAAUCCGUUGAUAUCUAGAUCUGAGGAGCUGGUAAAAUGAUGCCAGCGCAGUCACCAAAGCCAACGUAGCUACCCUCCUUCCCACAUGCACCACGAAGAAUAACCUCAUCACCAUCCUGCAAGAAAACUCGUUCAGAUCCGUCUGCAAGCUUGAUCGGAUUCUUCCCACCAUUGGUGUUCUCCAAAAAACUCCCCAGAGUCCCAGGUCUGUCUCCUGAGAUUGUCCCACUGCCUAAAAGAUCACCGGUUCGCAUGUUACAGCCAGUAAUUGAAUGAUGAGCCAACAUCUGUGAGAAUGAGAAGAGCAAGUUCUUUGAGUUUGACUCAGCAAUCUUGGUGUCCUUGCCAUCAACAACAAGAUGUACUUCAAGUGGGAUGUCAUAUACAUUUUCUAUCUUCUUCUCCUGAAGAUACGGGAGCAACGGCUUUCCGGGUUCCAAACCCUGGGUACGAAAGGGCUCCAAAGCAUCCAUCAGAACUACCCAAGGUGUGAUAGUUGUUGCAAAGUUCUUUGCAUUGAAAGGGCCCAAAGGAAUGUAUUCCCAAGCCUGGAUGUCCCUGGCAGACCAGUCAUUCAUCAGGACAACACCAAAAAGAUGAUCCUCGGCCUUGUCGAUGGGGAUCGGCUCGCCCAAUUGGUUGCCCGUGGCGACGAAGACAGCCAGCUCAAGUUCAAUGUCAAGCUUUUUGCAAGGGGAAAAUAUGGGCUCCUUGGGCGUGAUGGUUGGAUCGGAGAGGAUUUGGCCAUUGGGCCGCCGGAUGGGUUGUCCCGAGACAAUGACGGAUGAUGCUCGUCCAUGGUAGCCAACUGGUAGGUGUUUGUAGUUCGGCUGCAGAGCGUUAUCGGGCCCUCGGAAGAGGACUCCCACAUUGUAGGCAUGAUUGAGGCCGGCGUAGAAGUCUGUAUAGUCACCAAUGCUUAACGGGAGAUGGUUUGUGACAUCUUUUCGUAGAAUCAGCGCUGAUUUCUUGAGAGGUUCAUUCGUUUUCAGCAGCUCGGGGUAGGGUGUGUUUUCUUGGAAAAUUGCCUGUAGAUAUUCCCGUACGCGGCGAUGAACGGGUCUACCGAGGGCAGCAAAGUCAUUCAAUGUGGGCUGGGCGAAGACGUCGAGGUGUUGCUGGAAGGAAGGUAACUGGGCAAAGCCGCCACCAGAAGCAAAGGUGAAGAGAUCAAGAACAUAAUCACCAAUCGCAAUUGCGGGAUGGCGGUUGGUUGAGGCUGGGGUGGAUAUGAUCCCGAAGGGUAUGUUCGCUAAUGAGAACGGCGAGUCCCUGGGAAUUGGAUGCCAGGAUGCUGAUGUCAUGGUUGGGGAUGAAAGGUAUCUGAUAGAAAUCUGCCAAUUACUGCAGCGGCGGUGGGGGUGAGGGCAAGAGCGAGGCGGGGGCUGG